GGUUUCGACGGGGUCGUUGAGACUGGGGAAGCGGGUAGAGGAUCCUCGUCGGCCUCUUAAAAAAACGAGGAACUUUUAUAAUUGCCAAUAAACCGGCACUCGUAGCUGCUUAAUUAGCUACCGUCAGCCCGCUCGAUCUGCUGAGCGGAUCACUGGCGUCAGAUAGCAGACCUCGUACGCAGGCAGGUUAAGCGUAAAAACGGUUCAGCCUAAGCUUUGCAGCUGAAUUGUAUAUAUGAAGCUACCGGACUGCAUAGCCUGUCAAUGAGCGCUGCAGAAGGGGAAUACUCCAUUCAUUGACUGCACCCGGAGAUGCUCCAGAGGAUAAGGUUUCGGACAGGGGUUCGACUCA
Molecule: transfer-messenger RNA, 352 nt
Rfam family: transfer-messenger RNA
About the family: Bacterial tmRNA, also known as 10Sa RNA or SsrA, is named for its dual tRNA and mRNA-like properties. Its role is to liberate the mRNA from a stalled ribosome.